Molecule: long non-coding RNA, 4270 nt
Filed under: Bos indicus x Bos taurus (hybrid cattle)
Lineage: Eukaryota; Metazoa; Chordata; Mammalia; Artiodactyla; Bovidae
Description: lncRNA (ENSBIXG00000007072.1)
Source: RNAcentral
CUUUAGUUCUAGUUCCAGAAUAAGUAUAAGGGGUUUUACACGAAAUGUAGUUUUGUUCCAGAAGCCUCUGGGACCAGGGCAGAGCAGCCAGCAGGGGCUCUCCGGACGCUGCUCACCGGUCAGGGCAGAGGCACGUGGACACAAACCCACCGAACCUCGGCCCUGUAAAUGCUCUCGCCAGCAACCCACCAGCCCGCAGCUUUCCGCUCCGGAGGACCGGUUCGUUUCCGGCCAAGUUCAGAAGCUGGUGGCCGAAGAGGGUGCCGCGCGGGACCGCGGAGGAGCCAGCCGGGGUCCGGAGCAGGCGGCGGGCCCCGGCUUCCCGCCCGGCGGCGCCCGGGGAGCGGAGGCUCGCAGGCGGGGAUGGGGAUGGCCGGGGGACACGGGGGUGUGGAUGACCAUCGCGCACGGGGCAGCUGUACCCGCAAGGGUGAAGGCGGGGAAGCAGCGAUUUCUUAUAGAGGCAAGUUUGGGCAGAACGCCGUCUAGGCCAUUUUGCACGCGCGCUCCAGUCCAGCACAGCACCUGACACGCAAUGGGCCUUCACAACUGUUUGCUGCUGGAUGCAAAUACGGUAAUAGUUUCCCUUUAAGGCCAAGAAAGGGGCCCGUCCGCGGGUUGGAGGGAGGGGGGCGUCCUUCUGCCCGCGGCCCCCGCCCCCACCCACUCCCGGCCAGCUGCUGCGGCCGCCCCUCCCCCCCUGCCCCGCAGCCGCUCGGUCUGAGUAACCCGACGCCUGGGCCCGCUCCCCCGCCCGACCCAGGGCUCGGCGGCCAAUGGCCGUGGCCCGAGCCUCCGCCGGGAGCCGCGGGGGCCCUCCCGGCGCCACCCGGCCGGGCUGGGGCACCGGUUAAGAGCCGGCCUCCAGCUCCUGCUCCUGCUCUCCGUGCCCUGCGUGAGCCGCCGUCGGCCAGGCCCAGCCCAGACACGCCCGCGCCCUGCCCCGAGGCUGUGCCAGGGGACUGGGCGAUGGGUGCAGACCGGGCACUGAGAGGGCCAAGGCGGGAACUAUCCCCAGCCCGGGGAGCCAGGGCACUUGAGUUCUGGGGCGCUUGACAGGCUGAGAGACCUUGGACAGUCGCGGAAUCGUCUGUGGUUGAGAGCAGACCCUGUCCACCUUGAGUGGGGCUUGUGAGGGCCCAAGCCGGCAAAGGCCGCAAGUCCUCCUGAAUUAGCCAGUGUGUGCGUGUGCUCAGUCGCUCUGUCAAGCCGACUCUGCGACCCCAUGGACUGUAGCUCGCCAAGAUCCUUGUCCAUGGAAUUUUCCAGGCAAGAAUACUGGAGUGGGUUGCCAUUUCCUUCUUCAGGGGAUCUUCCCCACCCAGGGAUCAAACCCACAUCUCUUAAGUCUCCCGCAUUGGAAGGCGGAUUCUUUACCCCUGUGCUGCCUGGCAUUAGCCAGAGGCCAGGCGAAACCCAAGUCACUGGGACCAGUCAUCACCGGCCCUGUCUACAGCUUCUCCUCCCCACCAUCCGGGUCCCACCGCACACCAUCCUGGGAAUUCCCUAGGUUCAAGGGGAAGAGCCUGACACAACUUUCCUGAACACCUCAGUCUGGGCAGCUCCUCACUCCCAAGGCAGAGGUGGGCUGAUGGGGUUAGCAACCCCCUCCCCACUCCCUCCACCAACCCCGGAGGAAGGGAGCAGGAAAUACAUUGCUGGGCUGGAAGGGUGAGCACAGGCAGGGCACCUUUCCAACUACCUAGUUUAUCUCCAGGGCACUUACUAGAGUGGAAAAAGUAUAAAGAAGAAACUGACCAACAAUACCUUUUUCCUCCUCCAAUGGUUACAACUACACACUCCCCACAAUUUGCCGCCGUAGGCUACAAAUACUUGAGUAUUUAUCUGUGUGCACUACAGAUCCCCGUACCUUAAGAAAAGCAAAGGAGAGCUCAGGAAAUACACUGUAGUCUGAAAGAAACAGAAGAGAAGAGAUCUUUGUCAAGGAUGCAUAAUUUUAACAUUCACAGCUCUCCUACACCGGAGCAGGGUCUGGGUCGCGUAUGGUGAUGAGGACACAUCUGGGUCCCUUGAAUCUUCGGUCUAUGCCAGGUCCCAAACAGGCUCCCAAAUAGGUUCUGGAACCUGCAACCUUGACUCACACCCUUUCCCACCCCCGCACUGGACUGGCAACCUUCAGGCACCUUGCCUGGGGCUCAGGGUCACAUGCUACACGGCUCGGCUCUCUCUUCCCUGGCAGUUGGACUCCAGGGUCUGACACCCCAUCAGGUCCUCUGCCCCAGGUGAAUCCAAAGGCAGGAUGUGGCAUUUCAGGGAGCCUGAGAGGGAGUCCAAAAGCAGGGAGGGGGAGAGUGCCCCCCAGCCCAGGCCUGGUGUUCUGCAGGCUUCCUGAAAUUCAUUUGCUUCUAGACCUCUUCAGCCUUGCCAAGUUCUGUGUGAAAGAUCAGAACAGCUGGAAAUUUCUAGCGGGAGAGUGCCAGGUGCUGAAUAGGUCCCAGUCUGACUUAGAAACAGUGAGGGGCCAGGGCUGUUUGGGGUUGGCACUCUUCCCUUUGCCAGACGGGCAGGAACUGCUUGCUCUUGGAAGGCAUGCCACCCCCAAGCCUGGGCCAAAGCCGCUGUAAACCCCGGACACCAGGCUGGGGACAGAAACUAGGAGCCUCCUCCCUCCUAAGCCCCAGGAUGACGACACAAAGGGCCUCCUCUGCUGGCCAAGCAGAAGGGGAUGGGCUGACUGGGGAGGGCCGAACCGUCACCCAGUCAAAGCCAGGCAGCUGCAAAUGAAACACAGGCCUAGGAAGGCUCCGACAGGCACUCAGUCUUUCCCAGAGCCAAAAAAUCCUGGCUAGAGACUUGACUACAGAGCAAGGCAAGGCACUGGGAAAUACUUGAAACCAGGCACGACCCCUGGUACUGUUGGACUCCUGACAACAACAGGCGGAGCCAAAUGCUUUUUCCCCACCUGGCCCAGACACAAAAAUUAAGCUGCCCAGAGGGGACCCAGGGGAGGUGGCAGAGGAGCCAGGGAGGGACCCAGCAGGAAAAGGGAAGCUGGCAGUAAGGUCGUUUUUACCCUGCUCAGAGAGCAGAGCUCUCACACAGCAAGUCUGCAGAGGGGAGAGUUCCUGCUUGGCUUGACAAAAGGCCAGGUCACUCAGGCCCUCUGGAGCCUCUCGCAAGCCACUCUGGGAUGUACACGGUGGCUAGGCCACAGGGGUUACCUUCUGUUUGAAGAAGGGUAGGUGGUAGGGGUAGCUGCUGAGGGAGGCCGGCACCCCGCCCCCAACCCCAGGCUGUGACAAGCUUGACCUUCACUCUCAGGACUACCUCAGUCCUUCCAUGGCAGGCUCUGCUUGCUUUAUUUAUUUGCCAUGCCAUGCAGCUUGCAGGAUCUUAGUUUCCUGACCGGGGAUUGAACCUGGGCCCUUGUCAGUGAAAGCACCAAGUCUACCACAAGGGAAUUCCCAUCAGCCUGCUUUAAUUUUUUUUUUUCUAAGAUUUUGUUUUUUGACAUGGACCAUUAUUAAAAUCUUUAUUGAAUUUGUUAUAAUGUUGCUUCUGUUUUACAUUUUGGUCUUUUGGCCAGGAGGCUUGUGGGAUCUUAGCUCUUCAACCAGGGAUCAAGCUUGCACCCUCUGCAUCAGAAGGUGGUGUCUUAACCUUUGGACAGCCAGGGAAGUCCCCAGGCUGCCUUAUUUUAAAUGCACCUGCACGGUGGCAUAUUAUGGAUAACAUUUAUAAACCCACUAAGGAAUGUUCUUUUAUUCAUAUUUCUCCUGAUAUGUGAAAGGAGGGUUACUUUUUAAAAGUUCCAAAAUUAAACAGGAAAAGAGACAUCAUGUGUUGAGGAUGGAUUGGGAAUCUUAAUUUUCUUUAUCCUUUGCUGGAUCUUGAAAGAAAAAAAAAAAGAAUAGAAAGACACAUACCACUGCACAAGGCUUCUUUAAAAAAAAAAGCUUUCUGAAUUUAAAACUAGAGCAUGCUCUAUAAAAAGAAAUUCAGACAAAAAAUAUAAAGAGCAAAAAAUCACCUAUUAAUCCCACUACCCACUGAUAGCCCUGAUAUCAUUAUUGUGUAUUUUUCCCACACUAUUUUCUAUGCAUGCAGAUCCAUGUUUUUACAUGAGAUAUAAUUAUUAACAUCAGAGUGUCGUCUUCUUCCUGCCCCUGUCCACUGACGAACAUUCUAAACUUGCCUGUUUGGUUUCUCUUCACUUCACUCUUCCACAGAGAGGAAGAAUGAUCACUUGCUGAGAAAAGCUAAACUGAUCUACAUAAUAAAGGAAUGCAGUGAGAUGGGAUGAGGUCCA